AGUGAACGCUGGCGGUAGGCCUAACACAUGCAAGUCGAACGGCAGCACAGUAAGAGCUUGCUCUUACGGGUGGCGAGUGGCGGACGGGUGAGGAAUACAUCGGAAUCUACUUUUUCGUGGGGGAUAACGUAGGGAAACUUACGCUAAUACCGCAUACGACCUACGGGUGAAAGCAGGGGAUCUUCGGACCUUGCGCGAUUGAAUGAGCCGAUGUCGGAUUAGCUAGUUGGCGGGGUAAAGGCCCACCAAGGCGACGAUCCGUAGCUGGUCUGAGAGGAUGAUCAGCCACAAUGGAACUGAGACACGGUCCAGACUCCCAAGGGAGGCAGCAGUGGGGAAUAUUGGACAAUGGGCGCAAGCCUGAUCCAGCCAUACCGCGUGGGUGAAGAAGGCCUUCGGGUUGUAAAGCCCUUUUGUUGGGAAAGAAAAGCAGCAGGUUAAUACCCCGCUGUUCUGACGGUACCCAAAGAAUAAGCACCGGCUAACUUCGUG
RNAcentral lists this ribosomal RNA (492 nucleotides) under uncultured bacterium. Its description in RNAcentral is "partial 16S ribosomal RNA". It matches the Rfam family "Bacterial small subunit ribosomal RNA", at positions 29 to 507 of the family's 1533-position model. The record is from RNAcentral.